RNAcentral lists this ribosomal RNA (2684 nucleotides) under Peronospora tabacina. Its description in RNAcentral is "large subunit ribosomal RNA". It matches the Rfam family "Bacterial large subunit ribosomal RNA". The record is from RNAcentral. Lineage: Eukaryota; Oomycota; Peronosporomycetes; Peronosporales; Peronosporaceae.
AGUAAAAAUAAUAAAAGUAUUAAGUGAAUGCCUUGGCAUUAAUUUUAUUUUUAGGACGUAAAAAAUGCGAAAAGCUGUAUUAAAUAAUAUUUUAUUUUGAAAUAAAGAUUUCCUAAAGAAAACUUUUUUUUUGUGAAAAUUUAAAAAACAGUGAAUUGAAAUAUCUAAGUAACUGUUAAAAAAAAUCAAACGAGAUUCUGUGAGUAAUGACGAAUGAAAAUGGAAAUUAGGUUUAUAAUUAUAACAAAAUUAUUUGAAAAAUUUUGAAAAAUUUACUUAAAAAGGUGAAAGUCCUGUAAAAUAAUAAAUAUUAUUAUAAUAGUAAAAAAAGGUAUGUGUAAUCUUUUUUGAAUAUUGGGGAACCACCCUCAAAACCUUUUAAAAAUUAAUGAUCGAUAGUGAACAAGUACUGUAAAGGAAAGGUGAAAAAGAACUUUUGAGUUUGAAAUAAUCCUGAAACUUAAUAUUAAUAAUCAAUUGAAACUUUUUUAAAAAGUAACAGUGUACCUUUUGCAUAAUGGGCCAGCAAGUUUAUUUUUAUAGCAAGCUUAAUUUAAUGAAGUAGGCGCAGAUAAAUCAAGUUUUAAAAAGCUUUAGUUAUAUAAAUAAGACCCGAAACUGAGUGAUCUAACCAUGAACAGAUUGAAAAAUAGGUAAAACUCUUUGAAAGAUCGAACUCACAUAUGUGGCAAAAUAUGGAGAUGAUUUGUGGUUAGGAGUGAAAGGCUAAUCAAACUCAGAGAUAGCUGGUUUUCCGCGAAAUCUAUUGAAGUAGAGCAUUUAAAAACUUUUUUUGGGGUAGAGCACUCAUUGAGCUAGGGGGUGUAAAAACUUACUGAACUCUUAGAAACUCCAAAUACAAAAAAAUGUAGUUUAAAUAGACAGACAUUAGGCGCUAAGGUCUUUUGUCAAAAGGGAAACAGCCCAGAUUGAUCGCUAAGGUCUCUAAAUAAUAUUCUAAGUGAAAAAGGAAGUGAAAAAAUAAUUACAACCAGUAGGUAGGCUCGGAAGCAGCCAUCCUUUAAAGAAUGCGUAAUAGCUCAUUGGUCUAGUUUUUUUGCGCCUAAAAUGUAUCGAGACUUAAGAAAUUUACCGAAGCGGCAAGUUUUAUAAUCAAAUAAAACGGUAGCGGAACAUUCUGUAUGUUGAGAAAGAUAUAUUGUAAAAUAUGUUGAAGAUAUCAGAAAAGAAAAUGCUGGCAUUAGUAACAAAAAAUAAUGAUUAAUAAUCAUUAUCACCGUAAAUCCAAGGGUUUCUAUGUUAAAAUGUAUUGCUUAGAGUGAAACGGCCCCUAAGAAAAAUUUGACGAAAGCGAAUUUUGAUGGGAUAAUUUUUAAAUUAAAUUUUUUAAAAAAAGUGACAAAAAUAAUAAUUUUUCAGGAAAUAGCUUUUUUUAAUAAAAACCGUAUUUUUUUAAUAAAAAUCGUAUUUUUUUAAUAAAAACCGUACCCUAAACCGACACAGGUGGAUAGGUCGAGUAGACUAAGGUGAAUGAGAGAACUAUAUUGAAGGAACUCGGCAAAAUGACUUUGUAACUUAGGGAUAAAAAGUACCUAAUUUUAAAAAUUAGGUGUCACAAAAUAGGGGGUUGCGACUGUUUAAUAAAAACUUAGGACUCUGCUAAAUGGUAACAUGAUGUAUAGGGUCUGACACCUGCCCGGUGCUGGAAGAUUAAAAGAAGAUGUUUACGCAUUAAAUGGAAGUCCCAGUAAACGGCGGCCGUAACUCUGACGGUCCUAAGGUAGCGAAAUUCCUUGUCGGGUAAGUUCCGACCUGCAUGAAUGGUGUAACGACAUCCCCGCUGUCUCCAAUAUAGACUCAGUGAAUUUGAAUUAUCCGUGAAGAUGCGGAUUUUCUAUAGUUAGACGGAAAGACCCCGUGAACCUUUACUACAUCUUUAUAUUGUUAUUUUAUAUAAUAUGUGUAGUAUAAGUGGUAAUCGUUUAAACCUUUACGCUAGUAAAUUGUUUAGAUAUCCUUGAAAUACCACUCUUAUUAAAAUAAAUAACUAAUAUUUUUAAAAUAGACAGUGUAUGGUUGGUAGUUUGACUGGGGCGGUCACCUCCUAAAGAGUAACGGAGGUGUACAAAGGUAAGCUCAAAUUGGAUGAUAUUAUCAAUUGAAGAGUGUAAUGGUAAAAGCUUGCUUGACUGUAAGAUAGACAUAUCAAACAGGGACGUAAGUCGGUCAUAGUGAUCCGAUAAUUCUUUGUGGAAAGAUUAUCGCUCAACGGAUAAAAGGUACUCCGGGGAUAACAGGCUAAUGACUCCUAAGAGCUCCUAUCGACGGAGUCGUUUGGCACCUCGAUGUCGACUCAUCACAUCCUGGAGCUGAAGAAGGUUCCAAGGGUUCGGCUGUUCGCCGAUUAAAGUGGUACGUGAGUUGGGUUUAGAACGUCGUGAGACAGUUUGGUUCCUAUCUUCUAUAGAUAUUUGAAAAAUGCAAGAAUCUAAUUCUAGUACGAGAGGACCGAUAAGGGUAAAUCUCUGGUGUAUCGGUUGUUAAAAAGCAUUGCCGAGUAGCUAAAUUUAUUUUGGAUAAUUACUGAAAGCAUAUAAGUAAGAAACCAUUCUUAAAAAUUUUUCAUAUAAAAACUGUAAAAGACUAUUACAUUGAUAGGUUUUAAGUGUAUUUAUUGUAAAAUAUUUAGCUUAAAGAUACUAAAAGUUUCAAAAUAUAAUUAU